This 433-nucleotide ribosomal RNA is filed under the name uncultured bacterium. Its description in RNAcentral is "partial 16S ribosomal RNA". It matches the Rfam family "Bacterial small subunit ribosomal RNA", at positions 29 to 507 of the family's 1533-position model. The record is from RNAcentral.
AGCGAACGCUGGCGGCAGGCCUAACACAUGCAAGUCGAACGGAUCCUUCGGGAUUAGUGGCGGACGGGUGAGUAACACGUGGGAACGUGCCCUUUGGUUCGGAACAACUCAGGGAAACUUGAGCUAAUACCGGAUGUGCCCUUCGGGGGAAAGAUUUAUCGCCAUUGGAGCGGCCCGCGUCUGAUUAGCUAGUUGGUGAGGUAACGGCCCACCAAGGCGACGAUCAGUAGCUGGUCUGAGAGGAUGAUCAGCCACACUGGGACUGAGACACGGCCCAGACUCCUACGGGAGGCAGCAGUGGGGAAUCUUGCGCAAUGGGCGAAAGCAUGACGCAGCCAUGCCGCGUGAAUGAUGAAGGUCUUAGGAUUGUAAAAUUCUUUCAGCGGGGACGAUAAUGACGGUACCCGCAGAAGAAGCUCCGGCUAACUUCGUG